GAUGAACGCUGGCGGCGUGCUUAACACAUGCAAGUCGAACGAAGCACCUUAUUUGAUUUCCUUCGGGACUGAUUAUUUUGUGACUGAGUGGCGGACGGGUGAGUAACGCGUGGGUAACCUGCCUCGUACAGGGGGAUAACCGAUGGCAACGGCUGCUAAUACCGCAUAAGCGCCCGGCAUCGCAUGAUGCAGUGUGAAAACCUCCGGUGGUAUACGAUGGACCCGCGUUGGAUUAGCUAGUUGGUGAGGUAACGGCCCACCAAGGCGACACUCCAUAGCCGGGCUGAGAGGGAGGCCGGCCACAUUGAGGCUGGGACGCGGUCCGAACUCCUACGGGAGGCAGCAGUGGGGAAUGUUGCACAGUGGGGUAAGGGAUGAAGCAGCGACGCCGCGUGAGCGAAGAAGUAUUGCGGUAUGUAAAGUUCUAUCAGCAGGGAAGAUAAUGACGGUACCUGACUAGGAAGCACCGGCUAAAUACGUG
This 481-nucleotide ribosomal RNA is filed under the name uncultured bacterium. RNAcentral describes it as "partial 16S ribosomal RNA". It matches the Rfam family "Bacterial small subunit ribosomal RNA", at positions 28 to 507 of the family's 1533-position model. The record is from RNAcentral.